RNAcentral lists this Y RNA (94 nucleotides) under Microcebus murinus (gray mouse lemur). RNAcentral describes it as "Y RNA (ENSMICG00000024385.3)". It matches the Rfam family "Y RNA". Rfam says of the family: Y RNAs are components of the Ro ribonucleoprotein particle (Ro RNP), in association with Ro60 and La proteins. The Y RNAs and Ro60 and La proteins are well conserved, but the function of the Ro RNP is not known. In humans the RNA component can be one of four small RNAs -- hY1, hY3, hY4 and hY5. Lineage: Eukaryota; Metazoa; Chordata; Mammalia; Primates; Cheirogaleidae. The record is from Rfam by way of RNAcentral.
ACCCACUCCAAUGGUAGUGGGUUAUCAGAACUUAUUAACAUUAGUGUCACUAAAGUUGGUAUUCAACCCCCCACUGCUAAAUUUGACUGGCACA